UACGUAGGGGGCGAGCGUUGUCCGGAAUCACUGGGCGUAAAGGGCACGCAGGCGGCCUGUUAAGUCAGACGUGAAAUGCCGCAGCUCAACUGCGGAACUGCGUUUGAUACUGGCAGGCUAGAGUCCAGUAGAGGGAAGCGGAAUUCCUGGUGUAGCGGUGAAAUGCUUAGAUAUCAGGAGGAACGUCAGUGGCGAAGGCGGCUUCCUGGGCUGUGACUGACGCUCAGGUGCGAAAGCUAGGGGAGCGAACCGG
RNAcentral lists this ribosomal RNA (253 nucleotides) under uncultured bacterium. Its description in RNAcentral is "partial 16S ribosomal RNA". It matches the Rfam family "Bacterial small subunit ribosomal RNA", at positions 524 to 776 of the family's 1533-position model. The record is from RNAcentral.